AUACUUACCUGGCAGGGGAGAUACCAUGAUCACGAAGGUGGUUUUCCCAGGGCGAGGCUUAUCUGUUGUACUCCGGAUGUGCUGACCCCUGCGAUUUCCCCAAAUGUGGGAAACUUGACUGCAUAAUUUGUGGUAGUGGGGGACUGCAUUCGUGCUCUCCCCUG
Molecule: small nuclear RNA, 164 nt
Filed under: Aotus nancymaae (Ma's night monkey)
Lineage: Eukaryota; Metazoa; Chordata; Mammalia; Primates; Aotidae
Description: U1 spliceosomal RNA (ENSANAG00000019651.1)
Rfam family: U1 spliceosomal RNA
About the family: U1 is a small nuclear RNA (snRNA) component of the spliceosome (involved in pre-mRNA splicing). Its 5' end forms complementary base pairs with the 5' splice junction, thus defining the 5' donor site of an intron.
Source: Rfam by way of RNAcentral